RNAcentral lists this ribosomal RNA (301 nucleotides) under uncultured bacterium. RNAcentral describes it as "partial 16S ribosomal RNA". It matches the Rfam family "Bacterial small subunit ribosomal RNA", at positions 509 to 807 of the family's 1533-position model. The record is from RNAcentral.
CAGUAGCCGCGGGAAUACAGAGGAUGCAAGCGUUAUCCGGAAUGAUUGGGCGUAAAGGGCUCGCAGGCGGUUUCUUAAGUCUGAUGUGAAAGCCCCCGGCUCAACCGGGGAGGGUCAUUGGAUACUGGGAAACUUGAGUGCAGAAGAGGAGAGUGGAAUUCCACGUGUAGCGGUGAAAUGCGUAGAGAUGUGGAGGAACACCAGUGGCGAAGGCGACUCCCUGGUCUGUAACUGACGCUGAGGAGCGAAAGCGUGGGGAGCGAACAGGAUUAGAGACCCCAGUAGUCCCUGUCUCUUAUAC